UACGUAGGGUGCAAGCGUUAAUCGGAAUUACUGGGCGUAAAGCGUGCGCAGGCGGUGAUGCAAGACAGAUGUGAAAUCCCCGGGCUCAACCUGGGAACUGCAUUUGUGACUGCACGGCUAGAGUACGGCAGAGGGGGGUGGAAUUCCACGUGUAGCAGUGAAAUGCGUAGAUAUGUGGAGGAACACCGAUGGCGAAGGCAAUCCCCUGGGCCUGCACUGACGCUCAUGCACGAAAGCGUGGGGAGCAAACAGGAUUAGAAACCCGAGUAGU
Molecule: ribosomal RNA, 271 nt
Filed under: uncultured bacterium
Lineage: Bacteria
Description: partial 16S ribosomal RNA
Rfam family: Bacterial small subunit ribosomal RNA
Source: RNAcentral